UACGUAGGUGACAAGCGUUGUCCGGAUUUACUGGGCGUAAAGAGCGCGCAGGCGGUCGUUCAAGUCGAGUGUGAAAGCCCCCGGCUCAACUGGGGAGGGUCAUUCGAUACUGAUCGACUCGAAGGCAGGAGAGGGAAGUGGAAUUCCCGGUGUAGUGGUGAAAUGCGUAGAUAUCGGGAGGAACACCAGUGGCGAAGGCGGGUCUCUGGGCCGAUACUGACGCUGAGGAGCGAAAGCGUGGGGAGCAAACAGG
RNAcentral lists this ribosomal RNA (253 nucleotides) under uncultured bacterium. RNAcentral describes it as "partial 16S ribosomal RNA". It matches the Rfam family "Bacterial small subunit ribosomal RNA", at positions 524 to 776 of the family's 1533-position model. The record is from RNAcentral.